UUGUCAGCUAAGGAGACAGAAAAAUUAUCUACUGAUGAGACUUAGCCGAAACCACCUCUUUUAGGGGUGGUCUAGAU
This 77-nucleotide non-coding RNA is filed under the name unclassified sequences. The record is from RNAcentral.